UGUCAUCAUUUUCUCUGUGCUAAAACUGCAUUGGGCAGCUGAUGACAUCUUUGACUUAACAGGAAGACGUGUCUGUCAUAACGCAUUAAAUCAUUCACAUCCUCCUCACAGCUGCAUGAGCUUUGAUGAAAUCAGCAACAGUGCAACUUCAGAUAACCUCUUUUUGCUUGGUCCUGCUUUUGCUCUCUUAUUGCCAACGAUUCAGAGUCAACAUCAGCAGGUUCAUCUAUAGCUUUCCGUUUUCAUUUGUGCUUCACUUUCAAUCGAAUUCCAUCUGCACUCUUGGGGCCCCUCGGGGCCUCCUCAUCAAGUCUGAGCCCUAAUGGAGGUGCACCUGGCCUGCUUGCGGAAUUCCGCACACGGGGUGGAACAAUGCUUAGCGGUUCUUUGUUCCCAGUGGAGCAUCCGAGCAC
Sinocyclocheilus grahami is the source of this 413-nucleotide long non-coding RNA. RefSeq lists it as uncharacterized. The record is from RefSeq and is a predicted model, not a curated record. Lineage: Eukaryota; Metazoa; Chordata; Actinopteri; Cypriniformes; Cyprinidae. The transcript is spliced from 3 exons.